CAAUAGCGUAUAUUUAAGUUGUUGCAGUUAAAAAGCUCGUAGUUGGAUUUCGGUUAAGAGCGACCGGUCCGCCGUUUGGUGUGCACUGGUUGGUUUUAACUUCCUGUAGAGGACGUGCUCUGGGUUUAACGACCUGGACUCGGAGUCUACGUGGUUACUUUGAAAAAAUUAGAGUGUUCAAAGCGGGCUUACGCUUGAAUAUUUCAGCAUGGAAUAACACUAUAGGACUCCUGUCCUAUUUCGUUGGUCUCGGGACGGGAGUAAUGAUUAAGAGGAACAGUUGGGGGCAUUCGUAUUUCAUUGUCAGAGGUGAAAUUCUUGGAUUUAUGAAAGACGAACUUCUGCGAAANCANNNGCCAAGGAUGUUUACAUNAA
This 375-nucleotide ribosomal RNA is filed under the name uncultured eukaryote. RNAcentral's name for it is "partial 18S ribosomal RNA". It matches the Rfam family "Eukaryotic small subunit ribosomal RNA", at positions 592 to 976 of the family's 1831-position model. The record is from RNAcentral.